GCUUGCUCUUUGCUGACGACCGGCGCACGGGUGCGUAACGCGUAUACAAUCUACCUUGUACAGGAGGAUAGCCCUAAGAAAUUGGGAUUAAUACUCCAUAGUAUUCAAUAACCGCAUGGUUUGUUGAAUUAAAACUCCGGUGGUAUAAGAUGAGUAUGCGUCCUAUUAGCUAGAUGGUAAGGUAACGGCUUACCAUGGCGACGAUAGGUAGGGGGCCUGAGAGGGUUACCCCCCACACUGGUACUGAGACACGGACCAGACUCCUACGGGAGGCAGCAGUGAGGAAUAUUGGUCAAUGGAGGCAACUCUGAACCAGCCAUGCCGCGUGAAGGAAGAAUGUCCUAUGGAUUGUAAACUUCUUUUAUUUGGGAAGAAACCCCUCUACGUGUAGAGGGCUGACGGUACCAAACGAAUAAGGACCGGCUAACUCCGUGCCAGCAGCCGCGGUAAUACGGAGGGUCCAAGCGUUAUCCGGAAUCAUUGGGUUUAAAGGGUUCGCAGGCGGUUUAUUAAGUCAGUGGUGAAAGCCUACAGCUCAACUGUAGAACUGCCAUUGAUACUGAUAGACUUGAAUUUAGUUGGAGUAGGCGGAAUGUGUAGUGUAGCGGUGAAAUGCUUAGAUAUUACACAGAACACCGAUAGCGAAGGCAGCUUACUAAACUACGAUUGACGCUCAUGAACGAAAGCGUGGGGAGCGAACAGGAUUAGAUACCCUGGUAGUCCACGCAGUAAACGAUGAUUACUCGUUAUUGGCGAUACACGGUCAGUGACUAAGCGAAAGUGAUAAGUAAUCCACCUGGGGGAGUACGGUCGCAAGAUUGAAACUCAAAGGAAUUGACGGGGGCCCGCACAAGCGGUGGAGCCAUGUGGUUUAAUUCGAUGAUACGCGAGGAACCUUACCAGGGCUUAAAUGCAAAUUGACAGUUCCAGAAAAUGGAAUUUUCUUCGGACAGUAUGCAAGGUGCUGCAUGGCUGUCGUCACUCGUGCCGUUGAGGUGGUUGGGGUUAAGUCCCGCAACGAGCGCAACC
This 1029-nucleotide ribosomal RNA is filed under the name uncultured marine bacterium. Its description in RNAcentral is "bacterial SSU rRNA". It matches the Rfam family "Bacterial small subunit ribosomal RNA", at positions 78 to 1103 of the family's 1533-position model. The record is from RNAcentral.